GGAGCUUGCUUCUUCGAUCGAGUGGCGAACGGGUGAGUAACGCGUGAGGAACCUGCCUCAAAGAGGGGGACAACAGUUGGAAACGACUGCUAAUACCGCAUAAGCCCACGGGUCGGCAUCGACCAGAGGGAAAAGGAGCAAUCCGCUUUGAGAUGGCCUCGCGUCCGAUUAGCUAGUUGGUGAGGUAAUGGCCCACCAAGGCGACGAUCGGUAGCCGGACUGAGAGGUUGAACGGCCACAUUGGGACUGAGACACGGCCCAGACUCCUACGGGAGGCAGCAGUGGGGAAUAUUGCACAAUGGGGGAAACCCUGAUGCAGCGACGCCGCGUGGAGGAAGAAGGUCUUCGGAUUGUAAACUCCUGAUGUUGAGGAAGAUAAUGACGGUACUCAACAAGGAAGUGACGGCUAACUACGUGCCAGCAGCCGCGGUAAAACGUAGGUCACAAGCGUUGUCCGGAAUUACUGGGUGUAAAGGGAGCGCAGGCGGGAAGACAAGUUGGAAGUGAAAUCCAUGGGCUCAACCCAUGAACUGCUUUCAAAACUGUUUUUCUUGAGUAGUGCAGAGGUAGGCGGAAUUCCCGGUGUAGCGGUGGAAUGCGUAGAUAUCGGGAGGAACACCAGUGGCGAAGGCGGCCUACUGGGCACCAACUGACGCUGAGGCUCGAAAGUGUGGGUAGCAAACAGGAUUAGAUACCCUGGUAGUCCACACCGUAAACGAUGAUUACUAGGUGUUGGAGGAUUGACCCCUUCAGUGCCGCAGUUAACACAAUAAGUAAUCCACCUGGGGAGUACGACCGCAAGGUUGAAACUCAAAGGAAUUGACGGGGGCCCGCACAAGCAGCGGAGUAUGUGGUUUAAUUCGACGCAACGCGAAGAACCUUACCAAGUCUUGACAUCCUGCGACGGAUAUAGAAAUAUGUCUUUCCUUCGGGACGCAGAGACAGGUGGUGCAUGGUUGUCGUCAGCUCGUGUCGUGAGAUGUUGGGUUAAGUCCCGCAACGAGCGCAACCCUUAUGGUCAGUUACUACGCAAGAGGACUCUGGCCAGACUGCCGUUGACAAAACGGAGGAAGGUGGGGAUGACGUCAAAUCAUCAUGCCCUUUAUGACUUGGGCUACACACGUACUACAAUGGCGUUAAACAAAGAGAAGCAAGACCGCGAGGUGGAGCAAAACUCAGAAACAACGUCCCAGUUCGGACUGCAGGCUGCAACUCGCCUGCACGAAGUCGGAAUUGCUAGUAAUCGUGGAUCAGCAUGCCACGGUGAAUACGUUCCCGGGCCUUGUACACACCGCCCGUCAC
This 1302-nucleotide ribosomal RNA is filed under the name metagenome. RNAcentral describes it as "bacterial SSU rRNA". It matches the Rfam family "Bacterial small subunit ribosomal RNA", at positions 75 to 1400 of the family's 1533-position model. The record is from RNAcentral.